AAGUUACACACAUAAUGACAGACAAAUACCGUAAACUGUGGUAUGCGACAGCGGACAGUCAUUUUAGUUCAGUUGCACCAAAACAUCAGGCAACGUGCUGUGGGCCUGUAGGUUAAAUAGGUUUGCUCCAUGUUUGCACGCAUUUUCUCAAGCUAUAAUAAACGAUCUACGAAACAUACUCAUUGAAAUCCGGAAAAUAUGAAGGAAUCCGAUCCAUUUUUCUUCGCGAGAAAGUUGCACAAAAAGAAAUCCAUAAUGGCUGAGACUGUUACUAGCGAAUUCGUAAAAUGGAUUUACACGAAUACUUGAUAUUUGCUCAAAUCGUCAACCCAACCUGAAUAAUGCAUUAUCAAAGCAAAAAAUCCUUUUUGCUACAACUCAAAUCCAGCAAUUAAACCAGACUUAUGAAGACAAAGUUUUGGCAGAACUUUACAUACCCAUGUCUGAAAUAGCUGGUACAAACAAGCAUUUUGCUAUGCAACAAUCAUUAUGAACAGAUGCUCCUUUGUCAAGAGAGACUUGCCAAGUAUGUACCAGAAACGAAAGAUGAUUUCAAACGACAAUUUUGAUUUGUAUUUGUCAAAAUAAAUAAAAGUUAAUCGAAAAUAAAA
Long non-coding RNA from Nasonia vitripennis (jewel wasp), 611 nucleotides. RefSeq lists it as uncharacterized. NCBI's taxonomy places the organism in Eukaryota, Metazoa, Arthropoda, Insecta, Hymenoptera, Pteromalidae. The record is from RefSeq and is a predicted model, not a curated record. The transcript has 4 exons.